UAUUUAAAAUUUCAUCUAUUUGUAUUAUUAAAAGCUAGUGUAACUAACAGAAUAAUCAAAUAGUGACAUGUGUCGUGCAAUGUGUUUUUAUACCAACAUAUAGGGAUUAGUUUGUAAUAGUAAAAAUGAAUGAAAUUUUUAAUA
RNAcentral lists this microRNA precursor (144 nucleotides) under Gossypium hirsutum (cotton). RNAcentral's name for it is "MIR7502 microRNA precursor family". It matches the Rfam family "MIR7502 microRNA precursor family". The record is from Rfam by way of RNAcentral. Lineage: Eukaryota; Viridiplantae; Streptophyta; Magnoliopsida; Malvales; Malvaceae.